UACGGAGGGGGCUAGCGUUGUUCGGACUUAUUGGGCGUAAAGGGCGCGUAGGCGGCCUUUCAAGUGACGGGUGAAAUCCCUCGGCUUAACCGAGGAACUGCCUGUCAGACUGGAAGGCUUGAGACCGGGAGAGGUGAGUGGAAUUCCCAGUGUAGCGGUGAAAUGCGUAGAUAUUGGGAGGAACACCAGUGGCGAAGGCGGCUCACUGGACCGGUACUGACGCUGAGGCGCGAAAGCGUGGGGAGCAAACAGG
This 253-nucleotide ribosomal RNA is filed under the name uncultured bacterium. RNAcentral's name for it is "partial 16S ribosomal RNA". It matches the Rfam family "Bacterial small subunit ribosomal RNA", at positions 524 to 776 of the family's 1533-position model. The record is from RNAcentral.